UAAAGUUUUGCCCUCAUGAAUUUGGACAUGACCCCAGAUACUGUUUGUGUACUUUACUGGGAUUCCUUGGUACAGCUUUAUAAUUCUGGAAUGACUCUUACUGCUUCUGUCUUUGGAGCAUGGCUGUGCAUAUGAAGCUACUGAGAAGAGUGGCCAAAGCAAUUUGGAAGGAAUGACUCUUCACAAGAUUUAGUUCCGUCUCAUACUUCCAGGGCUGGUGAAAGGAAAUCUCUCAUUUCUAAAAGAGAAUUUCAGCUGUUCUGAAGCCUGCAGAUGCUGAAUAAGUACCUACAAGCAAAAAAAAAAAAAUCUUGACCUCUAUCUUUUUUUGCCGCUCACAGGUUAUGGGGAUCAGGGCAUAGACCCUCCCCCACAACUUAAUUGGAUUGAAAUUAUUCUCUAUGUGAUUCCAAAUAACUGACCUCCAACCUGAAUGUGUAUAAUUCAUGUGAACUUCUAAACAUUCCUUUCCCACCCUUUCAGCUUCAAAAGGUGAUAUAUUGUGCUUUCAUCAUCAAUCAUCAUCAUCAUCAUCAUCAUCCUGAGAAAGUCUAAAACAUAAUUACAGAACUUUAAGAUAAAAAAAUUCAUUCUCUAAGAGAGAAGAGAGACUUGUCCAAGGUCAUUCAGCAAAUGAGUGAGGACUCAGAUCCACCCAACAUUCUUCCCUAAAUCAAAGCUAUGAAAGAUCAUUAGGGAAGAUCUUGCCUAAUCUUCCAAUUCUACUGCACGGAAACAGGAAGUAUGAUUCCAAAGAAUGGGCCUAUGAGUGCACUUCCAAACCACAGCUAAUUUUCCCUAAGAGUCUUCCGGAUGGUGGGUUUUUUGAGUACUUUCCAGAAAAAAAAAGUCAAUUAAUAUCUUACUGUUACUUGUACAUAGAAUUGUAUAUAACUGUUCAAUAAAUUGCAAAACAGAGCCUCUGGCUUCACACAUUACU
Heterocephalus glaber (naked mole-rat) is the source of this 940-nucleotide long non-coding RNA. NCBI's taxonomy places the organism in Eukaryota, Metazoa, Chordata, Mammalia, Rodentia, Bathyergidae. The record is from Ensembl.